This 24-nucleotide microRNA is filed under the name Oreochromis niloticus (Nile tilapia). RNAcentral describes it as "oni-miR-10655". Lineage: Eukaryota; Metazoa; Chordata; Actinopteri; Cichliformes; Cichlidae. The record is from miRBase by way of RNAcentral.
UUCCACCUCUGUGUCCUCUGCAGU